Molecule: ribosomal RNA, 229 nt
Filed under: uncultured Alicycliphilus sp.
Lineage: Bacteria; Pseudomonadati; Pseudomonadota; Betaproteobacteria; Burkholderiales; Comamonadaceae
Description: partial 16S ribosomal RNA
Rfam family: Bacterial small subunit ribosomal RNA
Source: RNAcentral
AGCUGAUCACUGGGCGUAAAGGGAGGCAGGCGGUUUUGUAAGACAGAGGUGAAAUCCCCGGGCUCAACCUGGGAACUGCCUUUGUGACUGCAAGGCUGGAGUGCGGCAGAGGGGGAUGGAAUUCCGCGUGUAGCAGUGAAAUGCGUAGAUAUGCGGAGGAACACCGAUGGCGAAGGCAAUCCCCUGGGCCUGCACUGACGCUCAUGCACGAAAGCGUGGGGAGCAAACA